Molecule: non-coding RNA, 45 nt
Organism: Pteropus alecto (black flying fox)
Lineage: Eukaryota; Metazoa; Chordata; Mammalia; Chiroptera; Pteropodidae
Source: Rfam
UAAUCAGUUCUAAUCAGAACCACCAACAUUUUAAAUAAAUUUAUU